UACAUGGGGUGCAAACGUUGCUCGGAAUUAUUGGGCGUAAAGCGCACGUAGGCGGUUAUUCAAGUCGGAUGUGAAAGCCCUUGGCUCAACCGAGGAAGUGCACCCGAAACUGGAUAGCUAGAGUACGAAAGAGGGUCGCGGAAUUCCCGGUGUAGAGGUGAAAUUCGUAGAUAUCGGGAGGAACACCGGUGGCGAAGGCGGCGACCUGGGUCGAUACUGACGCUGAGGUGCGAAAGCGUGGGGAGCAAACAGG
This 253-nucleotide ribosomal RNA is filed under the name uncultured bacterium. Its description in RNAcentral is "partial 16S ribosomal RNA". It matches the Rfam family "Bacterial small subunit ribosomal RNA", at positions 524 to 776 of the family's 1533-position model. The record is from RNAcentral.